UCACCGUUUCAUCUGUUACGAAUUUCCUCCGGUAUGAUUAUUAUGGUCAUCAAUAUGCUUAUUAUUAUCCUCAUCAUCCACAAUCCUUCUCUUCCCUCUUCUUCCACCUCAAAACCCCAACCCUAAUCCCCUCCCUGCGCCUCCUCCCCUCCUUCACCCGCCUCCUCUCCUUCGCCACCCCCGAAGAGCCCGCUUCCGAGAGCCGCCGCCGCAAGCGCCGCCUCCGCAUCGAACCUCCCCUCUCCUUCCUCCGCCAGCCUCAACAGCAGCGCAUCCCCUCCAAAACCCCUAUAAACCCUAACGCCCCCAAGGUCCCCGAACCCCUCUCCACCCUCGCCGGCAAACGACUCAACCUCCACAACAAGAUCCUAAACCUAAUCCGGGUCAACGAUCUCGAUGAGGCCUCGCUUUUGGUCCAUCACUCGAAUAAUUUCUGGCAUAUUUUUCGCUUCCGGAAGGAAUUGCUACUGCUGCUGGUUUGAUUGCUAUGAUGACUGACCACUACAAAAUUCUGGAAGGCAGUGACAGCGAGCAUGAAAGCAAUGAUGUAGCAAGAACAUCUCGCAGACCACAGAAGCGUGCUCGGGGUAAGUAUCGUCUCAUGUCAAAGGGUCCUGAUGGUCCUUGUCCAGAUCUGUUGCAACUUCAAUCUGCCUCAUCAAGUUAUGCAUGCAUGUCUUUAUUGAAGAGUAAGCGUUCUGGAGACCCAAUGCCUCCUCCAUCUCCAAUCGGAGCUCCCCCUCCAUCUCCAAUCCGCCAUCUCCAACGCCGACGAUCUCCUAAAUCAGCCAUCUCCAACCGGAGCUCCCCAUGAUCCGCCUCACUGCCACGAACCCCACGACUACGAAAUUUGAGACCGCCUCCUCCGCCACGACUACAAAGUCUGAGACCGCCGACUUCCCCAACUCAUCCGACGCCGACGACGAUUAAGUCCAACUCCGCCGACCGUGACCGUCUAUCCCCAACUUGAUGUUCUCUCCGUUGUGUAUCAGGCAAUUGGUUCUUUCCAAAAGAAAUACAGCAUCGGUUCUUUUGAGCUCCUGAGCAAAACAGCACCAAUACAGGCAGUAUCUCUUCUUCUGUUCAGCCCUAUCAUUGACUACUAUCUCAAUGGACGUUCCCUACAUGCCCAUCGCUUGUCAGGAUCCCCUGUGUUGUCAUGAGAACUUGUCAGGAUUGCGAAUGAAGGCUUUUGUAUUAGUGCUGACUUGUAUUUGUGUUUAAUGUCAGGCUUUUGUAUUUGUGUUUAAUGUGUUGUCAUUUUGAAUCAUGGAUGCUGACUUGAAAUGCUAAGAGUGAACACAAGUUGGUUUGCUUUUGUAUUUGUGUUUAAUGUGUUGUCAUUUUGAAUCA
Molecule: long non-coding RNA, 1353 nt
Organism: Asparagus officinalis (garden asparagus)
Lineage: Eukaryota; Viridiplantae; Streptophyta; Magnoliopsida; Asparagales; Asparagaceae
Exons: 5
Source: RefSeq, a predicted model, not a curated record